Molecule: ribosomal RNA, 918 nt
Filed under: uncultured Bacteroidota bacterium
Lineage: Bacteria; Pseudomonadati; Bacteroidota
Description: bacterial SSU rRNA
Rfam family: Bacterial small subunit ribosomal RNA
Source: RNAcentral
GGAUCCAGACUUUGAUCCUGGCUCAGGAUGAACGCUAGCGGCAGGCUUAACACAUGCAAGUCGAGGGGCAGCGCGGGGCGGCAACGUCCUGGCGGCGACCGGCGGAAGGGUGCGUAACGCGUGAGCGACAUGCCCGUUGCCCGGGGACAACCGGUGGAAACGCCGACUAAUCCCCGAUGGGACGGAGGCCCUCAUGGGUCUCUGUUGAAAGUUACGGCGGCGACGGAUUGGCUCGCGUCCGAUUAGCUUGUUGGCGGGGUAACGGCCCACCAAGGCUACGAUCGGUAGGGGUUCUGAGAGGAAGGUCCCCCACAAUGGAACUGAGACACGGUCCAUACUCCUACGGGAGGCAGCAGUGAGGAAUAUUGGUCAAUGGGCGGAAGCCUGAACCAGCCAUGCCGCGUGCGGGAAGGAGGCCCUAUGGGCUGUGAACCGCUUUUGCCUGGGGGCAAUAAGGGCGUCGUGCACGUCCGAUGAGAGUACCAGGCGAAUAAGCAUCGGCUAACUCCGUGCCAGCAGCCGCGGUAAUACGGGGGAUGCGAGCGUUAUCCGGAUUCAUUGGGUUUAAAGGGUGCGUAGGCUGUGCGUCAAGUCAGGGGUGAAAUUCCGGGGCUCAACUCCGGGGCUGCCCUUGAUACUGUCGCGCUGGAGUGCGGAUGCCGCCGGAGGAAUGAGUGGUGUAGCGGUGAAAUGCUUAGAUAUCACUCAGAACACCGGUUGCGAAGGCAUCUGGCGAAUCCGUAACUGACGCUGAGGCACGAAAGCGUGGGGAUAGAACAGGAUUAGAUACCCUGGUAUUCCACGCCGUAAACGAUGAUGGCUAACCGCCGGCGACACACUGUCGGUGGCCAAGCGAAAGCGAUAAGCCAUCCACCUGGGGAGUACGUCGGCAACGAUGCAACUCAAAUGAAUUGACGG